Molecule: ribosomal RNA, 447 nt
Filed under: uncultured bacterium
Lineage: Bacteria
Description: bacterial SSU rRNA
Rfam family: Bacterial small subunit ribosomal RNA
Source: RNAcentral
ACCCAGACUCCUACGGGAGGCAGCAGUGGGGAAUAUUGCACAAUGGGGGAAACCCCGAUGCAGCGACGCCGCGUGAGUGAAGAAGUAUUUCGGUAUGUAAAGCUCUAUCAGCAGGGAAGAAAAUGACGGUACCUGAAGAAGAAGCCCCGGCUAACUACGUGCCAGCAGCCGCGGUAAUACGUAGGGGGCAAGCGUUAUCCGGAUUUACUGGGUGUAAAGGGGGCGCAGACGGCGAUGCAAGCCAGGAGUGAAAGCCCGGGGCCCAACCCCGGGACUGCUCUUGGAACUGCGUGGCUGGAGUGCAGGAGGGGCAGGCGGAAUUCCUGGUGUAGCGGUGAAAUGCGUAGAUAUCAGGAGGAACACCGGUGGCGAAGGCGGCCCGCUGGACUGCAACUGACGUUGAGGCCCGAAAGCGUGGGGAGCAAACAGGAUUAGAUACCCCCGUAC